This 1908-nucleotide long non-coding RNA is filed under the name Polistes canadensis. RNAcentral describes it as "uncharacterized LOC106792434, transcript variant X3". Lineage: Eukaryota; Metazoa; Arthropoda; Insecta; Hymenoptera; Vespidae. The record is from RNAcentral.
CUGAGUUAUUUAAUAAUAAAUAUGGCGAAGUGUUGUUCUUUUAUAAGUUGUAAGAGUGAUAGUAAAUCAGAACGAAAAAAAAAUAACGAUUUCAACAUCCGACAAACUUCUUUUCAUAAAAUUCCAAAGGAUCCUAACAAGUUAAAACAAUUGAGCUGAGGAUUAUGUCAAGAUUUAGCUCCCGAAAAAUAUGUCUGUGAAUUGCAUUUUCACAACAAGGAUAUACUUAAAAAAUGUUCCUGCAUCUGAAUUGUUUCUGAAUCCUAAGCAACAAACAUGUCAGGAAAAACACAACAAAACUCAUGUUCAACCAUUAUUUUUGUUGAAAACGGUCAAGCAAGUUUACCAAAUUGUGACGCAAAAUGAAGAUUCGAGUUUGAAAAACAAUUUUGUGAAAUUCACAAAUGAUAAUUUACUCCAAAUUUUAAACACUACGAUGUUACCACCAAAAAGGAGCUGGAUCUUUGAUGUUAUAAAUUCUCAAAAUAUUUUUUUAUUUUUUAUAAAUCUAAAACCUUUAACAUUAAAACUUCACGUAAAAAUUCAUGGAAUUUUGAAAAUCAAGAUAAGAAAUAUGAAAACCAACAUAUCUACAGAUUUUACUUUUAAUCCUUCAAGUAUCGAUGUGAUUUUUGGAACUUAUUAAAAGAGAUGAAAAGUAGUCAUUUUCGUAGUGGGAACUGGAUUUGAUAUUAAUAGAUGUUCUACAACGUAUACUAAUAUAAUGUUGCCAAAUGAAAAGAUUCAACUGUGUAAAGGUGUGUAUCGAUGUCAAAAAAGUUAAAAAUUCAAGAGAGCGAAGAUACAAUAUAGACCUUUCCAAGGUGACUGGGUACAAGUUGUUGGAAGUUUCUUAAGUAAAAUUACAGUGACUCACUAUUCUACAUAAGCUAUUUAUAGAAUGCGUACUGCUACUUGAAAAAUCAGGAUUUCACGUUGAUUGUAUAAUAUAAUGGAACCACAGAGCAUGAAAACUGUUUGGAAUAGAAGAUUAUAAAUUUUGUUAUGAGUAUCCCUUUGAGUCUAAUAAUUGCUGAUGGUUUGUGACCUACUUUCCAAAUUUCCUGAAAUGUUUGAGAAAUAAAGUAAUUGAUACUCCAUCUUUUUGGACUCUCUUAAUGGUAUAAAAAUGCUUCACUAGCAGGCACUCUUAAACCUCGAAGUAUACGGAAAAAUGAAUGUACUUCUUGGAAUGCAAGAUGGGGAUAGGGACAAGGCAGAAAAUUAUAGAGGAGUAUCGUUAUUGGAUGUGGGUUACAAGGUAUUAACAAAGAUGAUGACAGAAAGAUUAAGUGGUUGGAUAGAAAAACACAAAAAGCUGAAGGAAAGCCAGGCGGGAUUCAGAAAGGGAAGAGGUACUAGGGAUCAGAUUUUUACAUUAAACGCAAUAAUAAAUAAUAGAUUGAAAGUGAAAGGUGGGAAGCUGUAUGUGGCUUUCAUUGACUUCAAAGCAGCAUUUGAUAGGGUAAACAGGGAAAAGAUGAUAGUGAAGUUGAAGGAUAAAGGGAUAGAAGGUAGAAUGAUGGAGACAAUAAAAGAGAUUUAUAGGGAAACGAGAGCGGAAGUACAGACUCAGGGGAAAAUUACGGAAAGCUUUAGAACAGAACAGGGAGUGCGGCAAGGUUGCGCGCUAAGCGCAGUCUUGUUCGACUUGUAUAUAGAUGAUCUGGAAGAAAGAUGGAUGGCGAAGAAUGAAGGGGGAGCAGUAAUAGGGAGGCAAAAAAUAUUUGCGAUAAAGUAUGCGGAUGAUGUUGCGGCGUUGGCGGAGACUGCGGAAGGGUUGAGAAGUAUACUAAAGGAUUUGGAAAAAUGGGCACAGGAAAACAAGAUGAGAGUAAACGAGAAGAAAACAAAGAUCAUGAUUUUCAGAAACGGAGGUAAGGUUAAGAAAGGGGAGGAAUGGGAGAU